This 253-nucleotide ribosomal RNA is filed under the name uncultured bacterium. RNAcentral's name for it is "partial 16S ribosomal RNA". It matches the Rfam family "Bacterial small subunit ribosomal RNA", at positions 524 to 776 of the family's 1533-position model. The record is from RNAcentral.
UACGUAGGUGGCAAGCGUUAAUCGGAAUUACUGGGCGUAAAGCGUGCGCAGGCGGUCUGCUAAGAGAGAUGUGAAAUCCCCGGGCUUAACCUGGGAACUGCGUUUCUAACUGGCAGGCUUGAGUGUGGCAGAGGGGGGUGGAAUUCCACGUGUAGCAGUGAAAUGCGUAGAGAUGUGGAGGAACACCGAUGGCGAAGGCAGCCCCCUGGGCUAACACUGACGCUCAUGCACGAAAGCGUGGGGAGCAAACAGG